RNAcentral lists this unclassified non-coding RNA (319 nucleotides) under Hevea brasiliensis (rubber tree). The record is from RNAcentral. Lineage: Eukaryota; Viridiplantae; Streptophyta; Magnoliopsida; Malpighiales; Euphorbiaceae.
GCAAAGAGCCUCAACUUCAAGGGCAGCAUUGGAAGAUGUUUAGACUAAUUUAGAUGAUGGUUUUGAUGGAAAUGGAUCUUAUUUAGAGAUGAGGAUGAAAGUGUUGAGGAUUUUGAUAGGAACAUCAAGCAAAGAUCUCUUGGUUAUGACUGAAUUUAAAUGCUAAAAACUUUUGGAUGUUUCAUAAUUUUUUAAGGGUUUAAAUUUUAUAUAAAGGAUUGUAUUUUCUUUGCAUAUUUUAUUAUUAGCUAAUUUUUUGAUAAUUUUAUGCUUCCUCAAUGAAGCGAGUGCUGUUUUUGCACUUUAAGUGAUGGGGUGA